CUGGGAUUGGGGACAUCAUGAUGCAGCAGCUGGAGAUGAGUCAGGAAUUGUCAGAUCUAUGAUUUAGCCAUCUGAGAUGGCGUGACUCAACUAUUUUAAAGUCCGAUGAUUCAUUGAUCUGAAAAUGCACAAGUUGAGCCUGUGGCAUUUGGGGAAGCGCGUGUGGGGCGAGGACAGAGCUGGGAGAACGUGCAAGGCUGUGCAGCUGAGGGAUCUGACUCAGAGACAACUGCAGAAACCCGAGCGUGGAGGCGUGACAUGGGAGUCUGAGUGGCCACCUGUUGUGCAGAUCACACCAGCCGCUCCCGCGGUGGGACCAGGCGCUGGGUCAGGGUCAGCGACGGGAUGUGCAACAGAUAAUGCUUUGCAGCUCAUACGACACCCAAUCAGCAUGACCCCCAGGGGUCCUGGAGCCAGCUUGGGCUGGAGAGUGCCCCGGUGCCCAUCUCCUCCCACCUCCGCUCCCAGUGAUGGUAAAUCGGCUGCAUCUACUCCACGGAAAUUAACAAAUGCUACAGAUCAGUCCUGAGCCCUCUGAGGGCGGGUUGUUGCCCACGUGCCAGCACACCACUGAUUCACUAAAAAGUUAGGCCACUGGACUCCUGGCCUCCAGCCAGCACCCUGGAUAGGCAAGACUGCCAGCCGGCCCCUCACAGGCUCUGCGUCCCCUGGUUCCCGCAGCCCAUCAGUGUGCACUCACGGCCCAGCACCCGGAAGCAGCAGCCGGCAGGGGUGGAGGCACAGCGAGGGGGCUGCCCAGCUGUGCCGGGCGAGUGUGUGAGCCGGGCCAGUGGCAGGAGGUGGCUUCUAGGUGGUUGCUCUCUGGUCUGGGCCUGGUUCGGCUUUUCCCUCUGCCCGGUCCGUACGGAUCUUCCCGGACUCCUGCUCCAGUGGUCUGCCCGUCUUCCUUUUCCAGAGAGAGAAGUUGUGUGCUCUUGUCUUCCGGGACAGCUGAGUGCGUAUGCGGCUGGGAGGGGCCGGGGCCCACAGCAGGCUGUCCGUCCUCACCCCGACUCUCCUCACUCUUCCCAAAUUAACUUCCGGGGGGUCGGCUGCUGAGGACUCGGCGUCCAGUGGGCACUUCCCAAGGCCGCUCACCACAUAGGCUUUCCUCCAUCCUCUGCAGAGAGGAUAAAGAAAGAGACACACAAAUGGGGAAGAAUCAUUUCUUCUCGCUUCUGGAGUCCAGGGCCGGGUGGGAGCUGCUGGGCCCGAGACCCUUCCACGCACACCCUGCUGACCAGCAAAGGUCUUCCCUCCCUUGUCUGCCUGAUGCUCUCCCACUUUGAGACUCACCCCCUGGGCGAAGUCCCCGGCAUGUGGGCCAGCCGGCCCCUCCCCUGCUGCACCUGGUUUGGCUCCAUCCUGUGUCACCUGUCCUUGGUGGAAUCCCAAAGGGCGGAGGACGCCCUAUUCUCUCCCACUCAGCAUCGGGCCCUGAAUGUUUGGUAAAGGUUUGUUAAAGUGAAUUAAGGAAGGAAAAGUCCCAAGAUCCCAAAGAAGACAAGUCACAGAAGAGAAGAAGAUAUUUGCAAUGUAUGGAACCCACAAGACUUUGUAUCCAGAAUAGGUAAAGUGCUCCCGAGAAAAUCGAUUACAAAACAGCAGGCAACCGAAUAGGAAAACAGGCAGGAUACUGGACACUUUGGUGCUUUGCAAAGAGGAAACCCGAAUGGCCAUAAGCCACGGAAAAGGUGCCCAGCCUCUCGGGCAUCAGGGAGGUGCACGUUAACCACAGCGAAUUACCACGACACAGACGCCAGGUCGGCGAAGAUGCUGUGUGGACAGGGCUGGGGAGGAAUGGGCACUCCCAUGCGCUGAGCACAAAUUGGUGAAACCGCUUUGGGAAAUGGUUUAACGGCAUCCAGUCAACUUGAAAUUCCAAAUGUCUGACUUGGCAACUGGAGAAGUUGAGUGUAGUAAUGGCACCAAGAUAUAUGCACACAAAUGGUCAUGGUGGCCUUGUUCCUAAUGCCAGAAGAUGGAAACGGCCGUCAAGAGCAGAACAGAGAGACAUGCUGCUGUAGGAAACGAGGCGCAGGGGAGAGGGCACCCAUCCACCACCUCCCGGCACGAUGCGCCCCCCAUGGCUGAACCCAGGAGACACCCCUGGGCUCUCAGCUCCCCCGCCCUGGCGAGGAGGGCUUGGCUGCUCUUCCUGGACUCAAGAAGACUAGUGGGGAAACUGAGUCAUUAUUCCAUGGCAGCUGAGAGCACCAGCAUGUCGGAUUCAAAAGGUCCAGAGAAAGUGAAUUUCAGCCAAACAGCAUCACUGGCCGCAUCCCGUAGGUGGUGUUAAUAUUAGUUUUAUUGGCUUUUCGCGGUUGUUUGCAUGUGGUUUGCAAAAUCUAGUUUUACAUUUGAAUAUGUUUCAAUAUUAUAAUAAACCUGAUUUAAGUCAA
This is a long non-coding RNA of Equus asinus (donkey), 2402 nucleotides long. Lineage: Eukaryota; Metazoa; Chordata; Mammalia; Perissodactyla; Equidae. The record is from Ensembl.